This 103-nucleotide microRNA precursor is filed under the name Marmota monax (woodchuck). Lineage: Eukaryota; Metazoa; Chordata; Mammalia; Rodentia; Sciuridae. The record is from RNAcentral.
AACUGAAUCCCCUGGGAAUCUUGAUAAGAUGCAGAUUCGGAUUCCAUGGGUCUGGGUGGGCCUCAGGUUCUGCAUUUCUAACAGACUCCUAGAUGUUGCUGCU